This 66-nucleotide transfer RNA is filed under the name marine eukaryotic metagenome. It matches the Rfam family "tRNA", at positions 5 to 66 of the family's 71-position model. Rfam says of the family: Transfer RNA (tRNA) molecules are approximately 80 nucleotides in length. Their secondary structure includes four short double-helical elements and three loops (D, anti-codon, and T loops). The record is from RNAcentral.
CCGUAGUUCAGCUGGAUAGAAUACCGGACUUCGAAUCCGUAGGUCGCAGGUUCGAAUCCUGCCGGG